This 420-nucleotide ribosomal RNA is filed under the name Fusobacteriota bacterium. Its description in RNAcentral is "Fusobacteria bacterium partial 16S ribosomal RNA". It matches the Rfam family "Bacterial small subunit ribosomal RNA", at positions 355 to 776 of the family's 1533-position model. Lineage: Bacteria; Fusobacteriati; Fusobacteriota. The record is from RNAcentral.
UGGGGGAUAUUGCACAAUGGGCGAAAGCCUGAUGCAGCGACGCCGCGUGGGGGAUGAAGGCCUUCGGGUUGUAAACUUCUUUUGCUCUGAACAAGGCAUGCCUUUGGGGUGUGUUGAGUGUAGGGGUUGAUUAGCGCCGGCUAACUACGUGCCAGCAGCCGCGGUAAUACGUAGGGCGCGAGCGUUGUCCGGAAUUAUUGGGCGUAAAGGGCUUGUAGGUGGCUGGUUGCGUCUGUCGUGAAAGCUCAUGGCUUAACUGUGGGUUUGCGGUGGGUACGGGCUGGCUUGAGUGCAGUAGGGGAGGCUGGAAUUCCUGGUGUAGCGGUGGAAUGCGCAGAUAUCAGGAGGAAUACCGGUGGCGAAGGCGAGUCUCUGGGCUGUUACUGACGCUGAGGAGCGAAAACGUGGGGAGCGAACAGG